UACGUAGGGGGCAAGCGUUGUCCGGAUUUACUGGGCGUAAAGAGCGCGCAGGCGGUCGAUCAAGUCGAGUGUGAAAGCCCCCGGCUCAACUGGGGAGGGUCAUUCGAUACUGAUCGACUCGAAGGCAGGAGAGGGUAGUGGAAUUCCCGGUGUAGUGGUGAAAUGCGUAGAUAUCAGAAGGAACAUCAGUGGCGAAGGCGGCUUCCUGGACCAAUACUGACGAUCAGGUGCGAAAGCGUGGGGAGCAAACAGG
This 253-nucleotide ribosomal RNA is filed under the name uncultured bacterium. RNAcentral's name for it is "partial 16S ribosomal RNA". It matches the Rfam family "Bacterial small subunit ribosomal RNA", at positions 524 to 776 of the family's 1533-position model. The record is from RNAcentral.